GCCGAACGGGUUACUGACUAAACUCUUAAACACAGGAGAAAAGUCACGUUGAACUGGAUUAAUUAUCAGCCGUAAAGAAUUCAACUGAAACGUUCAGUGCCAUGGCCCUUGGAAUGCUAAUGAUGUUCUUGUAUAUAUUGUCCGCAACGAUCCUUAUUACUCCUAGUGACGCAGGGCACGUAAGGAUGGAUCCAUGUUUCCAGUAUUGCUUCGAUAUUGCAAUGUCUUGCAUGUAUACCUGCAAUCGACAUGGUGGCAACGAUUGUCAGAGGAACUGCGAAACGCUGUUCGUAGAAUGUUCAAGUGGGCCGUGCAAUUUGGUGCAAAAAAAGCCAUAAUGUAAUAAGUUAACGUAUUGGGUUGCAUCAACUACAGAGAUGAAUAUUAAAAUGUCAUUAAUUAAACACAUUAUUCUUUUAA
Long non-coding RNA from Exaiptasia diaphana, 420 nucleotides. RefSeq lists it as uncharacterized. The transcript has 2 exons. The record is from RefSeq and is a predicted model, not a curated record. Lineage: Eukaryota; Metazoa; Cnidaria; Anthozoa; Actiniaria; Aiptasiidae.